AUACGUAGGGAGCGAGCGUUGUCCGGAAUUACUGGGUGUAAAGGGAGCGUAGGCGGGAGUGCAAGUCAGAUGUGAAAUACAUGGGCUCAACCCAUGGGCUGCAUUUGAAACUGCAUUUCUUGAGUGAAGUAGAGGUAAGCGGAAUUCCUGGUGUAGCGGUGAAAUGCGUAGAUAUCAGGAGGAACACCGGUGGCGAAGGCGGCUUACUGGGCUUUUACUGACGCUGAGGCUCGAAAGCGUGGGGAGCAAACAGGAUUAGAUACCCUGGUAGUCCACGCUGUAAACGAUGAUUACUAGGUGUGGGGGGACUGACCCCUUCCGUGCCGCAGUUAACACAAUAAGUAUUCCACCUGGGGAGUACGAUCGCAAGAUUGAAACUCAAAGGAAUUGACGGGG
This 396-nucleotide ribosomal RNA is filed under the name uncultured bacterium. Its description in RNAcentral is "partial 16S ribosomal RNA". It matches the Rfam family "Bacterial small subunit ribosomal RNA", at positions 523 to 918 of the family's 1533-position model. The record is from RNAcentral.